UCCCUGGCCAUUUAAUCAAUUGCCAAGGAGUUAUAACUUCUUGGUAAAACAUGGAGCAUUGUGGAAAAUGACAUACUAUGGAAGUGCUCCAAGAUUAGUGCAUCGGCCACAUUUUGCAGCAACAUCUGCUUUUAUAGCUCGGAUGAAAUUGUCCAAGUCAAGUAAGGAAACCCUUCACUUUCAGACAUUGAGAUAGUUGAGAAAAUCUGGGGGAAGCAAUGUCAUGGUCACAUCACUGUAUUUGGUGGCGGGACUACUUUGAAAGAUUUGAGAUGAUCGCCCCCUAGUCGAUCUGAUCUGGAAGCACAGGUUAUAGAAGAAAAGGAAAAAAAACCAGAUGCUUCAACAACGCUUAGAUGAGCAGGAACAACAACAAUAAAGGAUGUCUAAGUUGGAGUCUUAAGUGAAAGCUAUGCAAGAACUUUUUUUUAGGAAAUAACCUUCAUUGACUCCUCAAACUCGAGAACGUGUGCAACACUAGUGUCAGGUGUAGGCAUCUAAAAAUACCUAUAGGUAUCCACACACAGCUCGAGACAGAGAGAAGGUGAUCACUAGUGGAAAUUGGGGUUUC
Asparagus officinalis (garden asparagus) is the source of this 571-nucleotide long non-coding RNA. RefSeq lists it as uncharacterized. The record is from RefSeq and is a predicted model, not a curated record. The transcript has 3 exons. NCBI's taxonomy places the organism in Eukaryota, Viridiplantae, Streptophyta, Magnoliopsida, Asparagales, Asparagaceae.